GACGAACGCUGGCGGCGUGCUUAACACAUGCAAGUCGAACGGAAAGGCCCUGCUUUUGUGGGGUGCUCGAGUGGCGAACGGGUGAGUAACACGUGAGUAACCUGCCCUUGACUUUGGGAUAACUUCAGGAAACUGGGGCUAAUACCGGAUAGGAGCUCCUGCUGCAUGGUGGGGGUUGGAAAGUUUCGGCGGUUGGGGAUGGACUCGCGGCUUAUCAGCUUGUUGGUGGGGUAGUGGCUUACCAAGGCUUUGACGGGUAGCCGGCCUGAGCGGGUGACCGGCCAAAUUGGGACUGAGAUACGGCCCAGCCUCCUACGGGAGGCAGCAGUGGGGAAUAUUGCACAAUGGGCGGAAGCCUGAUGCAGCAACGCCGCGUGCGGGAUGACGGCCUUCGGGUUGUAAACCGCUUUCGCCUGUGACGAAGCGUGAGUGACGGUAAUGGGUAAAGAAGCACCGGCUAACUACGUG
Molecule: ribosomal RNA, 468 nt
Filed under: uncultured bacterium
Lineage: Bacteria
Description: partial 16S ribosomal RNA
Rfam family: Bacterial small subunit ribosomal RNA
Source: RNAcentral